RNAcentral lists this ribosomal RNA (253 nucleotides) under uncultured bacterium. Its description in RNAcentral is "partial 16S ribosomal RNA". It matches the Rfam family "Bacterial small subunit ribosomal RNA", at positions 524 to 776 of the family's 1533-position model. The record is from RNAcentral.
UACGGAGGGUGCGAGCGUUGUCCGGAAUCCCUGGGCGUCAAGGGCGCGUCGGUGGCACGGGUAGUCGUCGGUGAAAGCUCAGGGCUCAACCCUGAGUCGGCCGGUGAUACUCCCGAGCUCGAGUGUGGUAGAGGCCAAUGGAAUUCCGGGUGUAGCGGUGGAAUGCGUAGAGAUCCGGAAGAACACCGGUGGCGAAGGCGGUUGGCUGGGCCACAACUGACACUGAUGCGCGACAGCGUGGGGAGCAAACAGG